UUCAGAGAGGCAACCAUUGCUAUCCAAACCCA
This 32-nucleotide small RNA is filed under the name Arabidopsis thaliana (thale cress). RNAcentral describes it as "ATSL217820". The record is from RNAcentral. Lineage: Eukaryota; Viridiplantae; Streptophyta; Magnoliopsida; Brassicales; Brassicaceae.